GUACAUUAGUGCUUGCGCACGACAAUAGUUCUCAUUACAUUCGAGUGUGUUAUAAAAAUCCUCUGCCAGCCGAAGCUAGCAAGAGGCCAAAGGUUCACAUGGGUAUUGGAUGAAAGCCACCAACGUGCACUUGCUCUGGAGAGCCAGCACCGAAGGCAACGAUUCACAAUCACUAAUGAUCCUUCCGCAGGUUCACCUACGGAAA
This 205-nucleotide unclassified non-coding RNA is filed under the name uncultured fungus. Its description in RNAcentral is "sequence contains ITS1". The record is from RNAcentral. Lineage: Eukaryota; Fungi.